This 228-nucleotide long non-coding RNA is filed under the name Capsicum annuum. RNAcentral describes it as "long non-coding RNA (CANN_LNC001693)". Lineage: Eukaryota; Viridiplantae; Streptophyta; Magnoliopsida; Solanales; Solanaceae. The record is from RNAcentral.
GGCCGUCAAGACCUCUAUUAUAAGAUAAUAUAAUGCAAAAGAAAGUAUGCAAUCGGUACUUUGAAUGUACUGAGUAUGUGACAUAAGAAUAACUGAUCUAAACUGAAUAUGGUAUAUAUAACAUGAUAAACUAAUGCAAGGCCAAGUAAUGAAUAUAUGUUGAAUAACGAACUGAAUAACUGAAUAUAAGGUUAUGCAAGAAUCCUAAUCUAAACUGCAAACUAUGGA